UACAGAGGGGGCAAGCGUUGUUCGGAAUUACUGGGCGUAAAGGGCGCGUAGGCGGCCUGUUAAGUCGAACGUGAAAUCCCCGGGCUCAACCCGGGAACUGCGUCCGAUACUGGCAGGCUUGAAUCCGGGAGAGGGAUGCGGAAUUCCAGGUGUAGCGGUGAAAUGCGUAGAUAUCUGGAGGAACACCGGUGACGAAGGCGGCAUCCUGGACCGGUAUUGACGCUGAGGCGCGAAAGCCAGGGGAGCAAACGGG
This 253-nucleotide ribosomal RNA is filed under the name uncultured bacterium. Its description in RNAcentral is "partial 16S ribosomal RNA". It matches the Rfam family "Bacterial small subunit ribosomal RNA", at positions 524 to 776 of the family's 1533-position model. The record is from RNAcentral.